CCUACGGUGUGCAGCAGUGGGGAAUAUUGCACAAUGGGGGAAACCCUGAUGCAGCGACGCCGCGUGAGUGAGGAAGUAUUUCGGUAUGUAAAGCUCUAUCAGCAGGGAAGAAAAUGACGGUACCUGACUAAGAAGCCUCGGCUAACUACGUGCCAGCAGCCGCGGUCAUACGUAGGGGGCAAGCGUUAUCCGGAUUUACUGGGUGUAAAGGGAGCGUAGACGGAAUAGCAAGUCUGAUGUGAAAACCCGGGGCUCAACUCCGGGAGGGCAUUGGACACUGUUGAGCUAGAGUGUCGGAGAGGCAAGCGGAAUUCCUAGUGUAGCGGUGAAAUGCGUAGAUAUUAGGAGGAACACCAGUGGCGAAGGCGGCUUACUGGACUGUAACUGACGUUGAGGCUCGAAAGCGUGGGGAGCAAACAGGAUUAGAGACCCUAGUAGUC
This 440-nucleotide ribosomal RNA is filed under the name uncultured bacterium. RNAcentral's name for it is "partial 16S ribosomal RNA". It matches the Rfam family "Bacterial small subunit ribosomal RNA", at positions 338 to 795 of the family's 1533-position model. The record is from RNAcentral.